UGGGGAAUUUUGGACAAUGGGCGCAAGCCUGAUCCAGCAAUGCCGCGUGCAGGAUGAAGGCCUUCGGGUUGUAAACUGCUUUUGUACGGAGCGAAAAGGUCUGCUCUAAUACGGUGGGCUCAUGACGGUACCGUAAGAAUAAGCACCGGCUAACUACGUGCCAGCAGCCGCGGUAAUACGUAGGGUGCAAGCGUUAAUCGGAAUUACUGGGCGUAAAGCGUGCGCAGGCGGGUAUGCAAGACAGAGGUGAAAUCCCCGGGCUCAACCUGGGAACUGCAUUGGUGACUGGAUAGCUAGAGUACGGCAGAGGGGGAUGGAAUUCCGCGUGUAGCGGUGAAAUGCGUAGAUAUGCGGAGGAACACCGAUGGCGAAGGCACUCCCCUGGGCAUGUACUGACGCUGAUGCACGAAAGCGUGGGGAGCAAACA
Molecule: ribosomal RNA, 427 nt
Filed under: uncultured bacterium
Lineage: Bacteria
Description: bacterial SSU rRNA
Rfam family: Bacterial small subunit ribosomal RNA
Source: RNAcentral